Non-coding RNA from Pelobates cultripes (western spadefoot toad), 81 nucleotides. The record is from the annotation of a GenBank genome assembly. NCBI's taxonomy places the organism in Eukaryota, Metazoa, Chordata, Amphibia, Anura, Pelobatidae.
AGGUAGUAUGAAGAGCAUAGCAAUCCCUGUAGCAAUCACUACAGGGAUUGCUAUGCUCUUCAUACUCCCUUAGCUACUGAG